RNAcentral lists this small nucleolar RNA (49 nucleotides) under Pyrobaculum calidifontis JCM 11548. RNAcentral's name for it is "PCAsR65". The record is from RNAcentral. Lineage: Archaea; Thermoproteati; Thermoproteota; Thermoprotei; Thermoproteales; Thermoproteaceae.
GUGAUGUGGGUUUUAAGUACUGACUAGUGAUGUAGAACCCACGAACUGA